GAUGCACGCUGGCGGCGUGCUUAACACAUGCAAGUCGAACGGAAAGGCUCCUGCUUGCAGGGGUACUCGAGUGGCGAACGGGUGAGUAACACGUGGGUGAUCUGCCCUGCACUUCGGGAUAAGCCUGGGAAACUGGGUCUAAUACCGGAUAGGACGAUGGUUUGGAUGCCAUUGUGGAAAGUUUUUCGGUGUGGGAUGAGCUCGCGGCCUAUCAGCUUGUUGGUGGGGUAAUGGCCUACCAAGGCGUCGACGGGUAGCCGGCCUGAGAGGGUGUACGGCCACAUUGGGACUGAGAUACGGCCCAGACUCCUACGGGAGGCAGCAGUGGGGAAUAUUGCACAAUGGGCGCAAGCCUGAUGCAGCGACGCCGCGUGGGGGAUGACGGCCUUCGGGUUGUAAACUCCUUUCGUCAGGGACGAAGCGAAAGUGACGGUACCUGGAUAAGAAGCACCGGCUAACUACGUG
This 465-nucleotide ribosomal RNA is filed under the name uncultured bacterium. RNAcentral's name for it is "partial 16S ribosomal RNA". It matches the Rfam family "Bacterial small subunit ribosomal RNA", at positions 28 to 507 of the family's 1533-position model. The record is from RNAcentral.